Molecule: ribosomal RNA, 478 nt
Filed under: uncultured bacterium
Lineage: Bacteria
Description: partial 16S ribosomal RNA
Rfam family: Bacterial small subunit ribosomal RNA
Source: RNAcentral
GACGAACGCUGGCGGCGUGCUUAACACAUGCAAGUCGAACGGUAAGGCCCUUCGGGGUACACGAGUGGCGAACGGGUGAGUAACACGUGGGUGAUCUGCCCUGCACUUCGGGAUAAGCCUGGGAAACUGGGUCUAAUACCGGAUAGGACCACUGCCUGCAUGGGUGGUGGUGGAAAGCUUUUGCGGUGUGGGAUGGGCCCGCGGCCUAUCAGCUCGUUGGUGGGGUGAUGGCCUACCAAGGCGACGACGGGUAGCCGGCCUGAGAGGGUGACCGGCCGCACUGGGCCUGGGAUACGGCCCAGACUCCUACGGGAGGCAGCAGUGGGGAAUAUUGCACAAUGGGCGCAAGCCUGAUGCAGCGACGCCGCGUGAGGGAUGACGGCCUUCGGGUUGUAAACCUCUUUCAGCACCGACGAAGCGCAAGUGACGGUAGGUGCAGAAGAAGGACCGGCCAACUACGUGCCAGCCGCCGCCGUAA